AGAGUUUGAUCAUGGCUCAGAACGAACGCUGGCGGCAGGCUUAACACAUGCAAGUCGAACGCGUGUAGCAAUACACGAGUGGCGCACGGGUGAGUAACGCGUGGAUAUCUGCCUUUUGGUUCGGAAUAACCCCGGGAAACUGGGGCUAAUACCGGAUGGUUCCUUCGGGAUAAAGAUUUAUCGCCAAAAGAUGAGUCCGCGUACGAUUAGCUAGUUGGUGAGGUAAUGGCUCACCAAGGCGACGAUCGUUAGCUGGUCUGAGAGGACGAUCAGCCACACUGGGACUGAGACACGGCCCAGACUCCUACGGGAGGCAGCAGUGGGAAAUAUUGGACAAUGGGGGCAACCCUGAUCCAGCCAUGCCGCGUGAGUGAUGAAGGCCUUCGGGUUGUAAAGCUCUUUUGGCGGGGACGAUGAUGACGGUACCCGCAGAAUAAGCCCCGGCUAACUUCGUGCCAGCAGCCGCGGUAAGACGAAGGGGGCUAGCGUUGUUCGGAAUUACUGGGCGUAAAGCGCGUGUAGGCGGUUAUCCAAGUCAGGUGUGAAAGCCUUGAGCUCAACUCAAGAAAUGCACUUGGUACUGGGUGACUAGAGGACCGGAGAGGAUAGUGGAAUUCCCAGUGUAGUGGUGAAAUACGUAGAGAUUGGGAAGAACACCAGUGGCGAAGGCGGCUAUCUGGACGGUUUCUGACGCUAAGACGCGAAAGCGUGGGGAGCAAACAGGAUUAGAUACCCCAGUAGUCC
Molecule: ribosomal RNA, 744 nt
Filed under: uncultured bacterium
Lineage: Bacteria
Description: bacterial SSU rRNA
Rfam family: Bacterial small subunit ribosomal RNA
Source: RNAcentral